CGAACCGUGCGAACGUUGUUCGGAAUCACUGGGCUUAAAGGGCGCGUAGGCGGCCUCCUAGGUCGUGGGUGAAAUCCCCCAGCUCAACUGGGGAAGUGCUUACGAUACCGGGGGGCUCGAGGGAGGAAGGGGCGGUCGGAACUGUCGGUGGAGCGGUGAAAUGCGUUGAUAUCGACAGGAACGCCGGUGGCGAAAGCGGACCGCUGGCCCUCUUCUGACGCUGAGGCGCGAAAGCCAGGGGAGCGAACGGGAUUAGAUACCCCGGUAGUCCUGGCCUUAAACGAUGGGCACUAGGUAGUGGGCUCGACCUGGGCGCACUGCCGCAGCGAAAGUCAUUAGUGCCCCGCCUGGGGAGUAUGGUCGCAAGGCUG
This 371-nucleotide ribosomal RNA is filed under the name uncultured organism. RNAcentral describes it as "bacterial SSU rRNA". It matches the Rfam family "Bacterial small subunit ribosomal RNA", at positions 526 to 896 of the family's 1533-position model. The record is from RNAcentral.